AUUUUAACCAUCAUUUCAUAGAUAAACAUCUAGAAGCAAAGCUUAGAGCUUUUCUAAGUGAAAUUCUCCAAAAUUAUUUCCUAAAGAAUCUUUCAGUGAGCAAUUUAUUUAAUGAGACAGAUGCUAUGGCUCUCCAUGCCAGCAUGUCCCCCGCAAGAAGCAAGAGUGAGCUAGGGCAAGACAUUGCAGAUGGAAAUUUUGGUCCAAGCCUAAAAAUAAACAUGAAAUACCCUGUAAGCAAAUCUCUACAAAAUUAUCUUCAAGAUUUAUCAGAAAGUGAAUUAUUAAGUCUAAAGGCUGAUUUGAGCAAAUACCUCCAGGUCCUCUUUUUAGAAAAACUUUAUAAGUCAGGAUUGAUGACAGAAAGGCAACUAAAGGGGAUAAGCCAGGAAAUUAUCUCACUCCAUUCGCCUCCUAUACCAUUAAAACACUUAAAAACAAAUUUAGCUUUUAGAAAUGAAAGUUACUUUAUGAGAGAGGAUUCAGAAGAGCAAAAGAAAUAUUCAAAAAAUGGUCAAAAUACAGCUUUACAAGCAUUGCUCAAAGGUAAAUGUGGAGAAACAGAACUGUCCAGAAAGGAAGAAAAGGAAAGUUCUUUCUCACAAAAUUUAAAAGAAAACCUACCAACAAUUUGGGAACAGAAAACUAUUUAUUGCAAGGAAGAAGAAAGACUAAAUUUAAUAGAAAUACGAUCUUCCCUCAACAAAAAUAACCAGGCAAAUUCACUAACUAGGUCACCAGAAAGACCUUCAGACACAUCACUUAAGAAACAAAAGAAAGAUCAUGGUUUCAUGCAAUUUACUCAAGUAGAAAGUUCUGCCUACAAAACAGAGAUUCAAGAUCCAUACAGUUGGGAUGGUAGAUCAAAAACAAUUCAAUCAAAACCUUGCUUUGAAAAGACAGGGCAAAUGAAGCAAGUUGACAAAAGGGAGAACAAUAAUGUUUAUAAAUCGACUGCUCAAGAAAAACUUGAUACAGAAUUUUCAUCUUAUCUAAAGCUCCCUAACUGCAAAGUAUCAAAAGAAAAUGAAUCCACAAGCAGGCUCUCCUUCCCUACGUGGCAGACUAACGCCUUCAUUCAUGUCAAACCAGAGAUUGGGGAGCAAUCUAAAUUAGACCACUAUUAUCAGAGACUGAAAGGAAAUAAUAACAACAAUAAAAAACACUUGGUUACAUUUGCACAAUUCAAAGACGAAAUGGAAACUCUUUAUAAAAACCCAUAUGAAGCUUGCAAUGAAAAACGUGCCAAGAUCUCUGAAUCACAGUCCUUUAAAUAUAAAGAACAUGAGAAAAACUCAAGGCCAUUCUUC
This 1310-nucleotide long non-coding RNA is filed under the name Rattus norvegicus (Norway rat). Its description in RNAcentral is "long non-coding RNA NONRATT030062". The record is from RNAcentral. Lineage: Eukaryota; Metazoa; Chordata; Mammalia; Rodentia; Muridae.